AGGACGAACGCUGGCGGCGUGCUUAACACAUGCAAGUCGAACGAGGUGCUUCGGCACUUAGUGGCGAACGGGUGAGUAACACGUGAGCAACCUGCCCUUGGCUCUGGGAUAGCCUCCGGAAACGGGGAUUAAUACCGGACAUGACUCUCUCCUGCAUGGGGGAGGGUGGAAAGUUUUUCGGCCAGGGAGGGGCUCGCGGCCUAUCAGCUUGUUGGGGGGGUAACGCCCACCAAGGCGACGACGGGUAGCCGGCCUGAGAGGGCGACCGGCCACACUGGGACUGAGACACGGCCCAGACUCCUACGGGAGGCAGCAGUGGGGAAUAUGCACAAUGGGGGAAACCCUGAUGCAGCGACGCCGCGUGCGGGAUGAAGGCCUUCGGGUUGUAAACCGCUUUCACCAGGGACGAAGCGAGAGUGACGGUACCUGGGGAAGAAGCGCCGGCUAACUACGCGCCAGCAGCCGC
This 466-nucleotide ribosomal RNA is filed under the name uncultured bacterium. Its description in RNAcentral is "SSU rRNA". It matches the Rfam family "Bacterial small subunit ribosomal RNA", at positions 26 to 518 of the family's 1533-position model. The record is from RNAcentral.